Molecule: long non-coding RNA, 2125 nt
Organism: Sorghum bicolor (sorghum)
Lineage: Eukaryota; Viridiplantae; Streptophyta; Magnoliopsida; Poales; Poaceae
Exons: 2
Source: RefSeq, a predicted model, not a curated record
UUAUUUUAAAUUAGUGGGAUAUGGGUAAUUUAGAUACAAACUAAGGGUUAUUUAUUUUUUUUAUGCUAGUAACAAAGUAGAAUAGAUCCAAUAACUAUUAUUCUCAAGAUCGUGCUUUAACACGUUUUUCAUUAAGCAGAAUAAAAGAGUUUUGUUACAUAUAGUGACAAGUUACGAUAAUCCAAAGAUUAUCAAUGCACACCCGUCACUCUCACCACACUCGCACGUGGUUGUAAUUAUAUGGAAACUACUGAACGACAGAGGUGCUUAUGGCGAGGGGCUAGAUGGCCUCCACGAUCAUAUCUAGGUUCAUGGCCAUUAGUUCAAACUCCCCACCAAAAAGAAAUUGCAGCCCCUCCUAGGUGGAGUCUGACAGUGGCGUCCUGAAGGUAGCCUUGUUCUUCCGCACCAUCUCGAAGUCGACCUUAGGUGAUGGUAUAACCAUCCUAGUUUUUGCAUGAGAACACACUGAGCCUGUUUGGUGGAGUCCGCUUGCGCAACUUGGCUGCAAUGCGCUCACUAUGCCGCGGUAAUGUAAUGGGGACCGGUGUUCGAGGCCUACGCAACCUCAACUUCCCCUGGAUGAGGGGGGUUUGCCGCUCCCCCAAAGUCUCUUGAAUUGACAUUGUGGCCAUUGCAUGAGUCCCUCCACCAACAACAGCCGGCAUGGCUGAACCACCUCCGUUUACAUCAAACACGACCUAGACUGGGGGUGCGGAUAUCCCCUAGCUAGCUCCGUCACUAGAACCACACCCUCCUCUAACGCAACAGCACCCGUGACCAUAGGUGCUGAGGCCGUGGGUUGGCUCACAGCGUACAAGGGACCCAUCCAAGGAGGCAUGCACUGCACAGGUGAUGAUGGUGGUGAAAACGAAGCUCAAACCUCUUGAGAAGGCGGUGCUGGUGCUAGUGCAAGUCUUGCGAGACGGCAAGUUCCUUUAGCAUUGCUGGUGUUGGUGCUAGUGCAAGUCUUGCGAGGCGGCAAGUUCUUCUAGCAUUGGGUCGAACCACUCGGGGGGGGGGGAGCAUCCUGCUCGCGCACAACUCCAACCCCAGUGCCAAUGCUAGUGGAUCAGGCCCGGCGAAGAAGAGUGCAGCAGCAAGAGCAACUGCACUGUCGUUGGUGUCGGCAGGGCGCACCCAUGUCGUUGUCAAUCUUCGGCCCAGUUCGGCGCCGUCGUUGUCAUCUGCCGCUGGCGUCCCCCUCAGCCCCUAGUGCGGCAUCCUCCGAAUUGGGACUGACGAAUAGAGUAGAUCUGCCAAAUUAAGGCAACAUGUUAUGAUUAUUGUGAUAAUUUUUAGACUGAUCUUUUUCCCCCUAAUGUGUUUCAUGCUGGUCAAGGGCGGAGCUUGGGUAAGGCCAAGCUGGGCGGCCAUGGCCCCUGUCUAAUGCGACCGAACGUUUUGUGUUUAGGUGCUGAUCUGGUGGGCAUUGCUCACAUCGGUCCACACCAGGAUUUAAUUGCGUGCUAGGUAGGCUGACAUAUACAUAUGCAUUAGAGCACGCAUGCCCUCAGGGCCCGGGAGGUACGUACGCCAUGGCCCGUCGUCGAUCGACAAGUUUGAAGGGGAUGAUGGAUGGACCCAAAAAAAAAAAGAGGAAAGAGAGAGGUACACACAUCACUUAACUUUGGCAGGUGCUCUGUUUCGAUGAUGGGUUCCUUUUCCGGGUGUUUUCCUCGCGAUGCUUGCCUAGCCAACUUUCUCCUCGCCAAGUUAACCGGGAGGGAGAGAUGGAGCCCCAGCUGAUGGAGAUGAUUCGCGUUGCAUUGGUACGUGUAAGUAACUGCACGGCACGCCUGCACCAAACAAACUGAGAAGCCAAGGGAAGGGAAGGGAAGGGAAGGGAAGAGACCCGGCGGGCAGACCGGCCGGCAGAGAAACAAAUAUACGUAAUGCGCAUGCCUGCCUGCUUUUGCUUGGCGUAAGCCAGCGUGUUCUUUAUUUUUACGGUGUUUCUUUCGUAGGUUGUAAUUUAGCCGCCGUGCCGGCCAAAAAUAGCCUAAAGGCCACUUUGAUAGAGCUUCAUUUUUUUUAUUCUCCAAGGAGUGAUUCUCGUGGGGAAAUGAUUCCUUUGACAAUAUGAAUGAGGAGUGGAGAGAACAGAGAAGCAGUGGAGAGUGAA